GCAAAUUUGAUUAAUGCUACUUCUAUUAGUUUGGAACAAUUGGAAAAGUCUAAAAACGAAACCCUUUAUUUUGAAAAACAAAGGGCAAUAAAUCAGGUCCGACAGCGGGUUUUCCAACAGGCCGUACAAGGAGCUCUAGGAACUCUGAAUAGUUGUUUGAAUACCGAGUUACAUUUCCGUACGAUUCGUGCUAAUAUUGGCAUUCUCGGGUCCCAUGCCCGAAGCUUUGAGGAAGGCGACCUUGUUCUUCGGCGUCUUCAGUCGGCCAAGAAUUCCAACAAGUUGACGCCAAACUGGGAAGGCCCUUAUCGGGUAAUACGAGUCACCAGGCCGGGUGCAGUCCGCCUGGAGACCGAAGAUGCUGUCCCGGUGAGCAACUCCUGGAACAUCGAGCAUCUUCGCAAAUUUUACCCAUAA
RNAcentral lists this ribosomal RNA (417 nucleotides) under Triticum aestivum (bread wheat). RNAcentral describes it as "partial small subunit ribosomal RNA". Lineage: Eukaryota; Viridiplantae; Streptophyta; Magnoliopsida; Poales; Poaceae. The record is from RNAcentral.